Amblyraja radiata (thorny skate) is the source of this 137-nucleotide long non-coding RNA. RefSeq lists it as uncharacterized. The record is from RefSeq and is a predicted model, not a curated record. The transcript has 3 exons. Lineage: Eukaryota; Metazoa; Chordata; Chondrichthyes; Rajiformes; Rajidae.
ACAGUUGGACAGGUACAUGGAUAGGACAGGUUUGGAGGGAUACGGACGCAAGCAGGUGGGACUAGUGUAGCUGGGACAUGUUGGCCGGUGUGGCCAAGUUGGGCCGAAGGGCCUGUUUCCACGCUGUUUCACUCUAU